This 433-nucleotide unclassified non-coding RNA is filed under the name soil metagenome. RNAcentral's name for it is "partial contains 5.8S ribosomal RNA, internal transcribed spacer 2, and large subunit ribosomal RNA". The stretch from base 1 to 120 matches the Rfam family "5.8S ribosomal RNA", at positions 35 to 154 of the family's 154-position model. The record is from RNAcentral.
GAUGAAGAACGCAGCGAAAUGCGAUACGUAAUGUGAAUUGCAGAAUUCAGUGAAUCAUCGGAUCUUUGAACGCAUAUUGCGCUCUCUGGUAUUCCGGAGAGCAUGCUUGUUUGAGUAUCAGUAAACACCUCAACUUCCAUAUCUUUUUUGAAAUGGGAGUUGGACUUGAGUGAUCCCAACGCUUUUCCUCACCGAAAAGUGGCGGGUUACUUGAAAUGCAGGUGCAGCUGGACUUUUCUCUGAGCUAUAAGCAUAUCUAUUUAGUCUGCCUAAAAAACAGAUUAUUACCUUUGCUGCAGCUAACAUAAAGGAGAUUAGUUCUUGUGCUGACUGAUGCAGGAUUCACAAAGACAGGCUUCGGCCGACUUUGUAAACUCGAUCUCAAAUCAAGUAAGACUACCCGCUGAACUUAAGCAUAUCAAUAAGCGGAGGA